RNAcentral lists this long non-coding RNA (920 nucleotides) under Ananas comosus (pineapple). Its description in RNAcentral is "long non-coding RNA (ACOM_LNC012046)". Lineage: Eukaryota; Viridiplantae; Streptophyta; Magnoliopsida; Poales; Bromeliaceae. The record is from RNAcentral.
CAUGCUUCUAUAGUGUAAAUGAGCUUCGAUUCAUGCAUUUAAACCUAAGUUUAAUUGAGACAUGAGAGAUAACAAGAUUGCCAUAUAGUGGCACCGAAUUGGAAUAUCAUGUGAAUUAGAGAGCUAAUGUUAUCAAGCGGUAUUGAGCUCAGGACAUGUGUGAACCUAGUGGAUAGGGCCAUUGAGGGAUUUGGAAUACAUGUUGAACAUCAAAUUGCCUAAGUGUCAUCAAGGGGCACUAGGCGUAGCAAAUGUUGAAACUACACAUCGUGACUUAAACUAAAUCUUCGGGAUGCUAGUGACUAUGCCAUGUUAGAGACAUGAGGAUUGGAUACUUGAGACUUGGACUAUGCUUGCUUGCCAUUUGUGCUCAUUCGCACAUGCUUGUGAGCGUCGCUCCCUACAAGCCGGCACUCCGGAGUUAGCCUACGCGACCAAUGUUCGCCGUGCGGUAUCGAGAAGCUUACGGGGUCGGGAGGGAUAGACUUAUUCCUAGAGUGGGAAUGUUGGGGCUACCACCGACACUUAGGCGGCACAAGCUGGAUUACAAUAUGUAGAUCCUAAAACAUGUUUGAUUAAUGACAUUGAAGCGGGAAUGGAUAAUCACUACUAGAUAGGUUUAGUAGUUGAAUUACAUUUAUAUGCUUUUAGCAUAGUGUUGAGACAUGUAGUAUACUUGAUAGUCUUUUAUUGCAUCAAAGCAUACUUGGUUGCCAUGACAGAACUUAUGCAUCAUGUAUUGAUAAAGGUUAGUGACAUUUAACUAUUGCCAUUGGACUUACUAUUAUGAUAUCGUAGAUGUACAUCACCAUGACAUCGUGUAUACUUGAGUUUAAUAAUUUAGCAUUUUUAAUUAUGCUUUUAUAUCACAGUCAUUAUUGCUAUUAUUAUUGUACUUACCCUUUUCUUUUGGGGCCUAG